This 103-nucleotide small nuclear RNA is filed under the name Neogale vison (American mink). The record is from RNAcentral. Lineage: Eukaryota; Metazoa; Chordata; Mammalia; Carnivora; Mustelidae.
UUACUUCAGCGGUACAUACACUAAAACUGGAAUGCUAUAGAGGAGAUUAUCAUGGCUCCUCUGUAAGAAUGACAUGCAAAUUCAUGAAGCGUUCUAUAUUUUU